Molecule: transfer RNA, 96 nt
Organism: Fusarium langsethiae
Lineage: Eukaryota; Fungi; Ascomycota; Sordariomycetes; Hypocreales; Nectriaceae
Rfam family: tRNA
About the family: Transfer RNA (tRNA) molecules are approximately 80 nucleotides in length. Their secondary structure includes four short double-helical elements and three loops (D, anti-codon, and T loops).
Source: Rfam
GACAACGUGUCCGAGUGGUUAAGGAGAUAGACUUGAAUCGUCACGAUUGGAUAUCUAUUGGCUUCGGCCUCGCAGGUUCGAAUCCUGUCGUUGUCG